Molecule: ribosomal RNA, 501 nt
Filed under: uncultured bacterium
Lineage: Bacteria
Description: bacterial SSU rRNA
Rfam family: Bacterial small subunit ribosomal RNA
Source: RNAcentral
UAGAGUUUGAUCCUGGCUCCGAUUGAACGCUGGCGGCCUGCCUAACACCUGCAAGUUCGAACGGGGGUUUUCGGACCCUACGUGGCGGACGGGUGAGUAACGCGUAGGAAUCUGCCUGAUAGAGGGGGACAACCUGGGGACAACUCACGGCUAAUACCGCAUAAUCUCGCGAGAGGAAAGCGGGGGAUCUUCGGACCUCGCGCUAUGAGACGGAGCCUACGUCCGAUUAGCCAGUUGGUAGGGUAAAGGCCUACCAAAGCGACGAUCGGUAGCUGGUCUGAGAAGGAUGAUCAGCCACACUGGGACUGAGACACGGCCCAAGACUCCCUACGGGAGGCAGCAGUGGGGAAAUAUUGGACAAUGGGCGCAAGCCUGAUCCAGCAAUGCCGCGUGGGUGAAGAAGGCCUGCGGGUUGUAAAGCCCUUUAGUGGGGAAGAAAUAUGGGGUGCGAACAGUGCCUUAUUUGACAUUACCCACAGAAUAGCACGGCUAACUCCGUGC